Apis dorsata (giant honeybee) is the source of this 484-nucleotide long non-coding RNA. RefSeq lists it as uncharacterized. The transcript is spliced from 4 exons. Lineage: Eukaryota; Metazoa; Arthropoda; Insecta; Hymenoptera; Apidae. The record is from RefSeq and is a predicted model, not a curated record.
UCAUUUCGUACGGGUGGGGGAGGAGGGGAUUAUGUUCGAUCCGCCGAUCGAAAGAUCACGUGGCGCGUCUCGCGGACACAUGAACGGUUUGGUUAGUUUUUCCAGCCAAGGAAAAUGGCCCACGUCGUUCCGGGUAAUCGAUGGUGAUGCAUGGAAUGCGAUUCGACACGCUCCAUAAUCGUGUGCCUCGUCAAACUUGGAGCGUCGUUUAUUAAAAGCGACGCGGAAAAGGGUAGGGAGAGGGGGGAGGGGGUGGUGGCUCGUUCGUUCGGGCCAACUGGCGAGUAAACGAAACUUUCAUCGAGGUUGAAUGGGCGAACGGGGUGAAAAGAGAAACGAGUUUAAGUGAUUUCAGUGAUUUUACAAGUCGAUGAGUUUGAUCAUCGAUUGAUCUUUCAUUAAGGAAAGUGUUUCUGCGAUAUUUGAUAUUUAUUUGAAAUCGAUGGAAGUGGAGUAGUUUUUUUUUUUUUUUUUUCAUUAUUAU